UCCUUUUGUCAAGCAAAAGUGGCUCCUAUUU
This 31-nucleotide non-coding RNA is filed under the name Mus musculus (house mouse). Lineage: Eukaryota; Metazoa; Chordata; Mammalia; Rodentia; Muridae. The record is from RNAcentral.